CACGUAGUUAGCCGGGGCUUCUUAGUCAGGUACCGUCAUUUUCUUCCCUGCUGAUAGAGCUUUACAUACCGAAAUACUUCAUCGCUCACGCGGCGCCGCUGCAUCAGGGUUUCCCCCAUUGUGCAAUAUUCCCCACUGCUGCCUCCCGUAGGAGUCUGGGCCGUGUCUCAGUCCCAAUGUGGCCGGUCACCCUCUCAGGUCGGCUACUGAUCGUCGGCUUGGUGGGCCGUUACCCCGCCAACUACCUAAUCAGACGCGGGCCCAUCUUACACCACCGGAGUUUUUACCACUGUACCAUGCAGUACCGUGGUCUUAUGCGGUAUUAGCAGUCAUUUCUAACUGUUAUCCCCCUGUGUAAGGCAGGUUGCCCACGCGUUACUCACCCGUCCGCCGCUCAGUCACAAAAAUCUUCAUCCGAAGAAUCGAAUUAGAGUGCUUCGCUCGACUUGCAUGUGUUAGGCACGCCGCCAGCGUUCAUCCUGAGCCAGGAUCAAACUCU
RNAcentral lists this ribosomal RNA (499 nucleotides) under uncultured Dorea sp. RNAcentral's name for it is "partial 16S ribosomal RNA". Lineage: Bacteria; Bacillati; Bacillota; Clostridia; Lachnospirales; Lachnospiraceae. The record is from RNAcentral.